AUUUGGAGUAUAAAACGUCGCUGAAAGAAUAGUCGGACAUCUCUCCGAAAUCCUGCUGGUCCAUGGAUGCAUCAGACUCCGACAGGACCUCUUCGGGUUUCAGCUCGCCGUGCUGUCGCAUAGUGAGGCCAGCUCAGAAGGUGUGACACAAGAAAGCAGCAACAGUCUCUACAAAGCCAGAAGCCAUAAAGCUUUGUCAAUAGUAAACAAAGGACAAGACAGUCGGUGGCGUAGGAAAUCAGGUCGAGAGAGACAAUGUGCCAUGACAUGUGGAGAAAGAAGCCACAGGCUGGACUUGAAGGCGACCCAACCGCUAGGCCAAUCGCCCUUCAGGGACAAAUAAAGUUGAAGUUGAAGGCCAUCGGCACCCAAAUGUAGACUGUUUUAUUCUCAGAGUCUCUACCUCAAGCUGACAGCAAUGGUCUACAUCAGCCCCUACUUUCAGGUACUACAGAUGUCACCUACACACUGCAGAGCAAGAACAAUACAUGCCAGAACCGACUUUCUCUUGCAUUUUUGUUUUUGUGCACGAUACAAAAAAAUACCAGACCAAAUCCUCUUUAGGAUUUAUUGGGGCCAGAUAGAUACAUGUUUUUUCAUGAUUCAU
Long non-coding RNA from Labrus mixtus (cuckoo wrasse), 607 nucleotides. RefSeq lists it as uncharacterized. The record is from RefSeq and is a predicted model, not a curated record. The transcript is spliced from 4 exons. NCBI's taxonomy places the organism in Eukaryota, Metazoa, Chordata, Actinopteri, Labriformes, Labridae.